ACCGAUAGUGAACCAGUACCGUGAGGGAAAGGCGAAAAGAACCCCGGCGAGGGGAGUGAAAAAGAACCUGAAACCGUGUACGUACAAGCAGUGGGAGCCUCUUUAUGGGGUGACUGCGUACCUUUUGUAUAAUGGGUCAGCGACUUAUAUUCUGUAGCAAGGUUAACCGUAUAGGGGAGCCGAAGGGAAACCGAGUCUUAACUGGGCGUUAAGUUGCAGGGUAUAGACCCGAAACCCGGUGAUCUAGCCAUGGGCAGGUUGAAGGUUGGGUAACACUAACUGGAGGACCGAACCGACUAAUGUUGAAAAAUUAGCGGAUGACCUGUGGCUGGGGGUGAAAGGCCAAUCAAACCGGGAGAUAGCUGGUUCUCCCCGAAAGCU
This 381-nucleotide ribosomal RNA is filed under the name Enterobacter hormaechei. Its description in RNAcentral is "partial 23S ribosomal RNA". It matches the Rfam family "Bacterial large subunit ribosomal RNA", at positions 483 to 867 of the family's 2925-position model. RNAcentral also lists the same sequence under 1 other name. The record is from RNAcentral. Lineage: Bacteria; Pseudomonadati; Pseudomonadota; Gammaproteobacteria; Enterobacterales; Enterobacteriaceae.